AACGAACGCUGGCGGCAGGCUUAACACAUGCAAGUCGAACGAUGUAGCAAUACAUAGUGGCGCACGGGUGAGUAACGCGUGGGAAUGUACCUUAUAGUGGGGAAUAACGUUGGGAAACUAACGCUAAUACAGCAUACGCCCUUCGGGGGAAAGAUUUAUCUCUAUAAGAUCAGCCCGCGUGAGAUGAGGUAGUUGGUGGGGUAAUGGCCUACCAAGCCUACGAUCUCUAGCUGGUCUGAGAGGAUGAUCAGCCACACUGGAACUGAGACACGGUCCAGACUCCUACGGGAGGCAGCAGUGGGGAAUAUUGGGCAAUGGAGGCAACUCUGACCCAGCCAUGCCGCGUGAAUGAUGAAGGCCUUAGGGUUGUAAAGUUCUUUCGCCGAUGAAGAUAAUGACGGUAGUCGGAGAAGAAGCCCCGGCUAACUUCGUGCCAGCCGCCGCCGUAA
This 449-nucleotide ribosomal RNA is filed under the name uncultured bacterium. Its description in RNAcentral is "partial 16S ribosomal RNA". It matches the Rfam family "Bacterial small subunit ribosomal RNA", at positions 29 to 523 of the family's 1533-position model. The record is from RNAcentral.